CAGCCGCCGCGGUAAUACAGAGGAUGCAAGCGUUAUCCGGAAUGGUUGGGCGUAAAGCGUCUGUAGGUGGCUUUUCAAGUCCGCCGUCAAAUCCCAGGGCUCAACCCUGGACAGGCGGUGGAAACUACCAAGCUGGAGUACGGUAGGGGCAGAGGGAAUUCCACGUGUAGCGGUGAAAUGCGUAGAGAUGUAGAGGAACACCGAUGGCGAAGGCAGCCCCCUGGGCCAAUACUGACGCUCAUGCACGAAAGCGUGGGGAGCAAACAGGAUUAGAUACCCCAGUAGUCCCUGUCUCUUAUAC
RNAcentral lists this ribosomal RNA (301 nucleotides) under uncultured bacterium. RNAcentral's name for it is "partial 16S ribosomal RNA". It matches the Rfam family "Bacterial small subunit ribosomal RNA", at positions 509 to 807 of the family's 1533-position model. The record is from RNAcentral.